GAAAUGCGAUAAGUAAUGUGAAUUGCAGAUUCCGUGAAUCAUUAAAUCUUUGAACGCACAUUGCGCCCCUUGGUAUUCCUCGGGGCAUGUCUGUUUGAGAAUCAGUUUAAACAUCAAAACUUGGCUUGGGGGCGAAAGCUUUCCAGUCCUUGCUUUGGACUUGAGUUGCCUUUGCGCAAGCAGAGCUACUUUAAUUGCAUUUGUGGCCUCAACCAACACAACUUGAAAAUUGAAGGCAUGACCAUUGAACGCAAGUUCUCAAUGAUUGCUGAUAAGACUUUCAAGACCUGUGCUGCUUGAAGACCCAGAUAACCCCAUUACAAAGCGCUGGCUUAAACCCACGCUUUAAGACUUGAUCUCAAAUCAGAUAAGACUACCCGCUGAACUUAA
This 390-nucleotide unclassified non-coding RNA is filed under the name uncultured Chytridiomycota. RNAcentral's name for it is "sequence contains ITS1". The stretch from base 1 to 104 matches the Rfam family "5.8S ribosomal RNA", at positions 50 to 154 of the family's 154-position model. Lineage: Eukaryota; Fungi; Chytridiomycota. The record is from RNAcentral.